UACGUAGGGGGCAAGCGUUGUCCGGAUUUAUUGGGCGUAAAGAGCGUGUAGGCGGUUUGGUAAGUCCGUUGUGAAAACUCGAGGCUCAACCUCGAGACGCCGAUGGAAACCAUCAGACUAGAGUCCGGAAGAGGAGAGUGGAAUUCCUGGUGUAGCGGUGAAAUGCGCAGAUAUCAGGAAGAACACCAGUGGCUAAGGCGGCUCUCUAGUACGGUACUGACGCUGAGACGCGAAAGCGUGGGGAGCGAACAGG
This 253-nucleotide ribosomal RNA is filed under the name uncultured bacterium. RNAcentral describes it as "partial 16S ribosomal RNA". It matches the Rfam family "Bacterial small subunit ribosomal RNA", at positions 524 to 776 of the family's 1533-position model. The record is from RNAcentral.